UUAUCUUCUGUUUAAUUGAAAAUAUACUCGACAUUUUGUGUUUUAUUAAGAUAGAGAAUAGAGAGAAACCUCUUCAGGCGAAAUUCUAAAUCAAUUUCUUCUAAUCUUCAAUGAAAAUCCAUCAAAAAAUGAUAAUACGGCAUUCAGAAUGAGUAGGAAGGUCGUAAUAAUUCAAUCAACAAAAAUUCAGAAUCAUUUACUUUCUUCAUCAUUAUGCCGCAUCAUCCUUUUCCAGAUAUAGUCCAAGCAAUCGAUUUUAAAAUAAUGAAUAAAAUAUAAAAGAAGAUGAAAGAAUUCCUCUCAGACAAAUGCCUCGAUUUGUCGUCACGAUUUUAUGUCGAAUGGAUUUCGAUCGGACUCGUCAUCGUAAUUUAGACAUCACUGAGAAAUCCAACACAGAAAAUUAAAAUCUACCAGAUGAUAAGAAACAGAGAAAUAAAGAAAAUUUUGAAACCGAAGAAAAACAAAUAUUU
RNAcentral lists this long non-coding RNA (473 nucleotides) under Olea europaea subsp. europaea. The record is from RNAcentral. Lineage: Eukaryota; Viridiplantae; Streptophyta; Magnoliopsida; Lamiales; Oleaceae.